Molecule: transfer RNA, 76 nt
Filed under: Turnera subulata
Lineage: Eukaryota; Viridiplantae; Streptophyta; Magnoliopsida; Malpighiales; Passifloraceae
Description: tRNA-Met
Rfam family: tRNA
About the family: Transfer RNA (tRNA) molecules are approximately 80 nucleotides in length.
Source: RNAcentral
GGGGUGGUGGCGCAGUUUGCUAGCGCGUAGGUCUCAUAGCUCCCUGAGGUCGAGAGUUCGAGCCUCUCUCACCCCA